AGCUCCAAUAGCGUAUAUUAAAGUUGUUGCAGUUAAAAAGCUCGUAGUUGAACCUUGGGGUUGGUCGACCGGUCCGCUUUUAUGGCGAGUACUGGAUUCGACCGAUCCUUUCCUUCUGGCUAACCUUCGUUCCUCACGGGGCGUUGGCGAACCAGGACUUUUACUUUGAAAAAAUUAGAGUGUUCAAAGCAGGCCUUUGCUCGAAUAUAUUAGCAUGGAAUAAUAGAAUAGGACGUUAUGGUUCUAUUUUGUUGGUUUCUAGGACCAUCGUAAUGAUUAAUAGGGACGGUCGGGGGCAUCAGUAUUCCGUUGUCAGAGGUGAAAUUCUUGGAUUUACGGAAGACUAACUACUGCGAAAGCAUUUGCCAAGGACGUUUUCA
RNAcentral lists this ribosomal RNA (380 nucleotides) under uncultured fungus. RNAcentral describes it as "SSU rRNA". It matches the Rfam family "Eukaryotic small subunit ribosomal RNA", at positions 587 to 972 of the family's 1831-position model. The record is from RNAcentral. Lineage: Eukaryota; Fungi.